AAGGGCACCACAAGAACGCGUGGAGCAUGUGGCUUAAUUUGACUCAACGCGGGAAAUCUUACCGGGUCCGGACACACUGAGGAUUGACAGAUAUACGUCGUGCGUUGAGCUCUCUCGGGGGCCGAGCGCAUGACUGAAAGAUGCUAGUUCUUUCAUGAUUAUGUGAUAGGUGGUGCAUGUCCGUUCUUAGUUCGUGGAGUGAUCUGUCUGCUUAAUUGCGUAUCAUUAAAGAGACCUAGUAUACGCGUAAGACUUCGUUUUACGGUUCGUGACCCCCCUCACGGGCGUGUGUCGCACGUACGAGUCAUACGCACAGGUCUCCGAUAGCAACGAACGUGACCGUACUCUAUUGUUGCAGCGAAUGUAUACGCACUCUGUGCUGUGUCUACCGCUGCUUAGCAUAUUUUCGUACCCUCGUGGUGCGUUGUAUGCAUUAAACUAUAGAGACCGCUGUCUUUUUCUUUUAAACCAGAGGAAGGAUACGGCAAUAACAGGUCUGUGAUGCCCUCAGAUGUUCCGGGCUGCACACGUGCUACAAUGAUCAUUGCACUGUGCAUCUAACCCAAUGUGCGUGGACGCCACGGUGUAUUGCGCUUCGGCGUAUAUGCAUCAGUUGGUCGACCACGCCGAACCUACUUCGAAAGUAAAAUUUUUAAGUGGGUAAUCCAUUAGAAGUAAUGACUCGCAUAGACCAUGGUACACUUUUAUGUACGCGCAGGUUCUACCCGGCCGGCCUUUUGUGUCGGUGCAGUGCGUAGCUUGUUGUUUCGUACGUACCACUCCGUAUUAAUUCAUACGUGGGGAUAGAUCAUUGUUUAAUUGUUGGUCUCGGUCUUAACUAGGAAUGCCUUGUACGGGUCUCUGGUUCAACAUACCACCCGGAAUACGUCCCUGCCCUUUGUACACACCGCCCGUCGCUCUUACCGAUGGAUUAUACUAUGAAUCUAUAGGACUGCCAAAGUUUGUGUCUCUCUCGGGAGUCACGCUUAGUGGAAAUAUAUAUGAAUAGUGUGAUCUAAAGGAAAGAGAAGUCGUAACAAGGCAUCGGUAGGUGAACCUGCAGAAGGAUCA
Molecule: ribosomal RNA, 1071 nt
Filed under: Ammonia sp.
Lineage: Eukaryota; Foraminifera; Rotaliida; Rotaliidae
Description: SSU rRNA
Rfam family: Eukaryotic small subunit ribosomal RNA
Source: RNAcentral